UAGAAACUGACAGUUAUCACAAAAAAGUUCUUUGUAGUAGUAGCGAGAAAUUUCUUCAGAUAGGUGCAAAGUAAGAUUCUGACAGGUAAAAAAUUAUCAAAGACCAUGCCGUCUAACGUCAGAAAGAAGAAACGUUUAAAAAAAGUAACAUGAAAACAAUGUCCGCUCUAGCUCAGACACUAAAUUGAAAGAACUAACAAACAAAGGUAACAAAUAAUUUUCAUACUCACGUAAUAUUCACCCUGUCAAAUUUCACCAAAAAGCCACCACGCAGCAUGACACAUCACAACAGACGAAAUCCUCAAGGUGAUAAUAGACGCCAGUUCAACUUCUACACUGAGGAAAAGGCACUCAAGGCGGUGAUAUCCGUUCAUGUACCUUGUCUGCAAGUGAUUCCCGACGUUUCAGCACCUAGGCAACAGUGCUUGGACAGUGGAUUGCUGAAAGGAUAAACACCUAGUUGGUUACAUACUACAAGGCAACAGCAAAUGUAAGAUCAAUCACAACGGAUGGUGAAACACUACCCUGUCUCACAACAACAGCAUGUUCCAGGCUCAUGUGAUCCUCACACAAUAGGGACUGGGCAUCUGAUUGUUUUAAUAAUCACCUGUAUCACCCUUUUAGCUUUAUUCCUGUCAUUCUGCACUUUACCUAACCUGUGAUAAAUCUUUCUUUUUGAAUGAA
RNAcentral lists this long non-coding RNA (684 nucleotides) under Daphnia pulex (common water flea). RNAcentral describes it as "uncharacterized LOC124188787". The record is from RNAcentral. Lineage: Eukaryota; Metazoa; Arthropoda; Branchiopoda; Diplostraca; Daphniidae.